CUACGUGCCAGCAGCCGCGGUAAUACGUAUGUCACGAGCGUUAUCCGGAUUUAUUGGGCGUAAAGCGCGUCUAGGUGGUUAUGUAAGUCUGAUGUGAAAAUGCAGGGCUCAACUCUGUAUUGCGUUGGAAACUAAAUAACUAGAGUACUGGAGAGGUAAGCGGAACUACAAGUGUAGAGGUGAAAUUCGUAGAUAUUUGUAGGAAUGCCGAUGGGGAAGCCAGCUUACUGGACAGAUACUGACGCUAAAGCGCGAAAGCGUGGGUAGCAAACAGGAUUAGAUACCCUGGUAGUCCACGCUGUAAACGAUGAUUACUAGGUGUUGGGGGUCGAACCUCAGCGCCCAAGCAAACGCGAUAAGUAAUCCGCCUGGGGAGUACGACCGCAAGGUUGAAACUCAAAGGAAUUGACGGGGGCCCGCACAAGCGGUGGAGCAUGUGGUUUAAUUCGAAGCAACGCGAAGAACCUUACCAGGUCUUGACAUCCCUCUGAUCGCUCUAGAGAUAGAGUUUUC
This 513-nucleotide ribosomal RNA is filed under the name uncultured bacterium. Its description in RNAcentral is "bacterial SSU rRNA". It matches the Rfam family "Bacterial small subunit ribosomal RNA", at positions 501 to 1016 of the family's 1533-position model. The record is from RNAcentral.